This 465-nucleotide ribosomal RNA is filed under the name Vreelandella stevensii. RNAcentral's name for it is "partial 16S ribosomal RNA". It matches the Rfam family "Bacterial small subunit ribosomal RNA", at positions 338 to 795 of the family's 1533-position model. The record is from RNAcentral. Lineage: Bacteria; Pseudomonadati; Pseudomonadota; Gammaproteobacteria; Oceanospirillales; Halomonadaceae.
CCUACGGGUGGCUGCAGUGGGGAAUAUUGGACAAUGGGCGAAAGCCUGAUCCAGCCAUGCCGCGUGUGUGAAGAAGGCCUUCGGGUUGUAAAGCACUUUCAGUGGGGAAGAAAGCCUUGGGGCUAAUACCCUCGAGGAAGGACAUCACCCACAGAAGAAGCACCGGCUAACUCCGUGCCAGCAGCCGCGGUAAUACGGAGGGUGCGUGCGUUAAUCGGAAUUACUGGGCGUAAAGCGCGCGUAGGCGGUCUGAUAAGCCGGUUGUGAAAGCCCCGGGCUCAACCUGGGAACGGCAUCCGGAACUGUCAGGCUAGAGUGCAGGAGAGGAAGGUAGAAUUCCCGGUGUAGCGGUGAAAUGCGUAGAGAUCGGGAGGAAUACCAGUGGCGAAGGCGGCCUUCUGGACUGACACUGACGCUGAGGUGCGAAAGCGUGGGUAGCAAACAGGAUUAGAUACCCUUGUAGUC